GUUUCUAUCUAUGAAGUGCUUUCUUCCAGUACGAAAGGAUCGAAGAAAGGAGGCCCAUGCUUAGAGUAAACCUCUCCCCCAUCUGAUGAAAACAACUCAAUCAGACAUAAGGACACCCCUGCCGUGCCGUAGAUCACAGCU
This 141-nucleotide ribosomal RNA is filed under the name Heterandria formosa (least killifish). RNAcentral describes it as "partial 16S ribosomal RNA". Lineage: Eukaryota; Metazoa; Chordata; Actinopteri; Cyprinodontiformes; Poeciliidae. The record is from RNAcentral.